UUGUGUUGCGGAACUUUUACUUUGAGAAAAAUAGAGUGUUUCAAGCAGGCUUGUCGCCCUGAAUACUUCAGCAUGGAAUAAUAGGAUAGGACCUUGGUUCUAUUUUGUUGGUUUCUAGGACCAAGGUAAUGAUUAAUAGGGACAGUUGGGGGCAUUCGUAUUUAACUGUCAGAGGUGAAAUUCUUAGAUUUGUUAAAGACGAACUACUGCGAAAGCAUUUGCCAAGGAUGUUUUCAUUAAUCAAGAACGACAGUAGGGGGUUUGAAGACGAUUAGAUACCGUCGUAAUCUCUACCAUAAACUAUGCCGACUAGAGAUAGGGAAAUGCCUACCUUGGCUUCUCCUGCACCUCAUGAGAAAUCAAAGUCUCUGGGUUCUGGGGGGAGUAUGGUCGCAAGGCUGAAACUUAAAGGAAUUGACGGAAGGGCACCACCAGGCGUGG
Molecule: ribosomal RNA, 441 nt
Filed under: Eimeria ahsata
Lineage: Eukaryota; Apicomplexa; Conoidasida; Eucoccidiorida; Eimeriidae
Description: SSU rRNA
Rfam family: Eukaryotic small subunit ribosomal RNA
Source: RNAcentral